Molecule: long non-coding RNA, 239 nt
Organism: Monodelphis domestica (gray short-tailed opossum)
Lineage: Eukaryota; Metazoa; Chordata; Mammalia; Didelphimorphia; Didelphidae
Source: RefSeq, a predicted model, not a curated record
GACUUUGGCAGUGGAACUUGACUUGGAGGAGCUCAACUGUGAGACCUCAGACUGCUUCCCUGAGAUGAUCACGUGGCGAAUGUAAUGGUCUCCAUCCUUUAGAUCAUCUUUCAUCAAAAGCACCUCAACAGGAAGCAGCCUCAACUUGCCAGUCACCCUCAGAAGGAAGAAGGAGAAAAGAAGACAAAGAAGAAGAAAAAGAAGAAGAAGAAAAGAAGAAGGAAAAAGAAGAAGAAGAA